Molecule: transfer RNA, 73 nt
Filed under: Planctomycetota bacterium
Lineage: Bacteria; Pseudomonadati; Planctomycetota
Description: Planctomycetes bacterium tRNA-Ala
Rfam family: tRNA
About the family: Transfer RNA (tRNA) molecules are approximately 80 nucleotides in length. Their secondary structure includes four short double-helical elements and three loops (D, anti-codon, and T loops). Further hydrogen bonds mediate the characteristic L-shaped molecular structure. tRNAs have two regions of fundamental functional importance: the anti-codon, which is responsible for specific mRNA codon recognition, and the 3' end, to which the tRNAs corresponding amino acid is attached (by aminoacyl-tRNA synthetases). tRNAs cope with the degeneracy of the genetic code in two manners: having more than one tRNA (with a specific anti-codon) for a particular amino acid; and 'wobble' base-pairing, i.e. permitting non-standard base-pairing at the 3rd anti-codon position.
Source: RNAcentral
GGGGGAUUAGCUCAAUUGGCAGAGCGUCUGGCUGGCAGCCAGAAGGUCAGGGGUUCGAAUCCCCUAUCCUCCA